Molecule: unclassified non-coding RNA, 279 nt
Filed under: plant metagenome
Description: partial contains small subunit ribosomal RNA, internal transcribed spacer 1, and 5.8S ribosomal RNA
Source: RNAcentral
UCUCCGUUGGUGAACCAGCGGAGGGAUCAUUACCGAGUUCCAACAACUCCCAAAUCUUUCUAACCGUACCCCAGUCUGUUCUCGUUGCUUCCGGCAGGCGGGGGUGGCCAUCUGGCCCCCCCCCCUCCCGGCGGCGGCGCCCGCUCGGAACCUCUAUAUCCCAACCACUGAAACCCGUCUCUGAAAAACAAAAAAUAAUUAAGACUAACAACAACGCAACUCAUGGCUCUGACCUCGAUGAAGAACGCAGCAGAUCGGAAGAGCACACCUCUCAACUCC